AACGAACGCUGGCGGCAGGCCUAACACAUGCAAGUCGAGCGAGGACUUCGGUACUAGCGGCGGACGGGUGAGUAACGCGUGGGAACGUGCCCUUUGCUUCGGACUAGCUCUGGGACACUGGGAGUAAUACCGGAUGAGCCCUAUUGGGGAAAGAUUUAUCGGGCAAGUAUCGGCCCGCGUUGGAUUCGGUUGUUAGUGGGGUAAUGGCCUACCACGCCGACGAUCCAUAGCUGGGUAGAGAGGAAGGUCAGCGACACUGGGACUGGGACACGGCCUAGACUCCUACGGGAGGGAGCAGUGGGUGAUCGUAGACAAUGGGGGAAACCCUGAUCGAGCCAGGCCGCGUGAGCGAUGAAGUCCUGAGGGUUGUAAAGCGCAUGCAGCUGGGAAGAUAAUGACGGUACCAGCAGAAGAAGCCCCGGCUAACUCCGUG
RNAcentral lists this ribosomal RNA (433 nucleotides) under uncultured bacterium. Its description in RNAcentral is "partial 16S ribosomal RNA". It matches the Rfam family "Bacterial small subunit ribosomal RNA", at positions 29 to 507 of the family's 1533-position model. The record is from RNAcentral.